Non-coding RNA from Manis javanica (Malayan pangolin), 1182 nucleotides. Lineage: Eukaryota; Metazoa; Chordata; Mammalia; Pholidota; Manidae. The record is from RefSeq and is a predicted model, not a curated record.
UCUUUAAAGCAAUUACAGGUAGUUCAUCAGCCCUGGAUCUUGCCAAGUGACACAGAAAGUGAAGGAGUGGAAGCUGAACAAGAGAAAUGUUCUGCUGAUCUUCUUCUCUGUGUCCCAUGCUCUUCUUGUCCUACUCUGAUCUACUCUGGUAUGCUUGCUCAGGGCACCUAACAGCAGCGUCAGUGCCUCUGCCAAAGGGCCAACAGCCUCUACACAGACACCUUGAGUGUGGGAGGUCUGUGAAGCAGGCAGAAGAAAUUGCAAGUGGUCCUUAAAGAAAUUGCAAUUAUUCAAAUCAUUAUGUAUAGUUCUAAUUUUAUUUACUACAUGUAAUCAUUUAGAGAAUGAUUAUUUUUAUAAUAUCAAUAACAAACAAGUACUGUUGCAACCAGGGGGUGCCUAAUCAGUGUGUAAUCAGAAAAUACUAACCCUGGCAAAAGAUUCUGGGCUGAUCAGGAUGCUUGCUGCCUUUUGGCCUGGUUAGUGUCCUGGGUUUAGACUACUUUAUACCUAACUAUUAAGAUUACUCUUUGAUAUUUAAAGAUUGCUUGAAUUCAAAUAAUUUUGCUUAAAAUUUUUCUGUAUUUUAACUUGUGUAGGGUUUUCUACUUCUUAUAUUUUUAUAAUAUUUUCUCAUUUUUUUAGAUUAAUCAACAUUAUAUUUACCAACAUGUGCCAAGAUGUGCCAUUUAGGUCUCUCUGGGAAUUAUAGCUCUUUGGUAUCAUCACCUGUAUAUGUGUUUUGUGCAGCAGCAAGAGACAUAUUCUCCACCACUGCUCCUUCUUAUGAUGACCUUCCCAGUUCCUAUCAAAACAAAUAAUUGGUAUGUUAAUUCAGUAAAGCAGAUCCGUAAGGAAUGAAAUGCAUGCCCAAAGCCUAUGCCAUGAAAAUUGUUUGACCAUUUAUCCAGUUAUUGAGCCCAAUUAAGAUUAUCCAUUUAAAAUUUUAUAUAUGCUCGCUUUUGAAAUGUGUUAUGCAUUGAUACUAAGUGAAUGGAUCUAAGUAAAUCUAUUGACUAGCUCUACUGUCUUUUUUAUCUUUGUCUUAAUCUAAGUUUGCUUUCUGGACCUUUAAGGCAUGCAGCUAAAUUAUAAAACUGCCUGGAUAACUGUCAAAGAAACAAAUGUUACAGACCAGAACAUGGCUAAAGAAUAAACAAAAAAAUUCUGAUUAUAUGAAUA